AUUGAACGCUGGCGGCAGGCCUAACACAUGCAAGUCGAACGGUAACAGGAAGAAGCUUGCUUCUUUGCUGACGAGUGGCGGACGGGUGAGUAAUGUCUGGGAAACUGCCUGAUGGAGGGGGAUAACUACUGGAAACGGUAGCUAAUACCGCAUAACGUCGCAAGACCAAAAAGGGGGACCUUCGGGCCUCUUGCCAUCGGAUGUGCCCAGAUGGGAUUAGCUAGUAGGUGGGGUAACGGCUCACCUAGGCGACGAUCCCUAGCUGGUCUGAGAGGAUGACCCGCCACACUGGAACUGAGACACGGUCCAGACUCCUACGGGAGGCAGCAGUGGGGAAUAUUGCACAAUGGGCGAAAGCCUGAUGCAGCCAUGCCGCGUGUAUGAAGAAGGCCUUCGGGUUGUAAAGUACUUUCAGCGGGGAGGAAGGGAGUAAAGUUAAUACCUUUGCUCAUUGACGUUACCCGCAGAAGAAGCACCGGCUAACUCCG
This 488-nucleotide ribosomal RNA is filed under the name uncultured bacterium. RNAcentral's name for it is "partial 16S ribosomal RNA". It matches the Rfam family "Bacterial small subunit ribosomal RNA", at positions 30 to 505 of the family's 1533-position model. The record is from RNAcentral.